This 253-nucleotide ribosomal RNA is filed under the name uncultured bacterium. RNAcentral describes it as "partial 16S ribosomal RNA". It matches the Rfam family "Bacterial small subunit ribosomal RNA", at positions 524 to 776 of the family's 1533-position model. The record is from RNAcentral.
UACGUAGGGUGCAAGCGUUGUCCAGAAUUAUUGGGCGUAAAGAGCUCGUAGGCGGUUUGUCGCGUCGAAUGUGAAAACCCGGGGCUUAACCCCGGGCCUGCAGUGGGUACGGGCAGACUAGAGUGCGGUAGGGGAGAUUGGAAUUCCUGGUGUAGCGGUGAAAUGCGCAGAUAUCAGGAGGAACACCGGUGGCGAAGGCGGGUCUCUGGGCCGAUACUGACGCUGAGGAGCGAAAGCGUGGGGAGCGAACAGG